Molecule: long non-coding RNA, 433 nt
Organism: Oreochromis aureus
Lineage: Eukaryota; Metazoa; Chordata; Actinopteri; Cichliformes; Cichlidae
Source: Ensembl
CAGAGCUGAGACACUCAGGACUGAACAGACUGCACAGUUUCUGUGACCGAGCCUCCAAAACAUCUUCUUUGAAACCACACAUGAUAGAAGGGCUUUAUAUUUGCAGCAGCACUACUAAAGUUGGCAGGAAUGUUGCUGCAGGAAAACAUCCCUGGAGAUCACCAUCAUUGCCAGACUGACUGUGCCUCCUCUGUGCAGUGUCAAGAUCCUCCCUAAAUGAGUGUUCCUCAGCUAUCCUGCUUCUGUGCUGCUUGCCACACAUCAAACACUGGCCGGAUGACAGGGAGGAUCCACUCUGAAGUCACUGGACAUGAUGAGGAUCAUAUGGGACUUUAUAGUUUCACAGAAACGUUGUGCUCUUUGAUUACAGGUUUUAAAUGGACAUAAUGACUGCCUCUCUCUGAUCAACAGGCUAAAGGAUUGUUUUCAUUGU